Long non-coding RNA from Dipodomys spectabilis (banner-tailed kangaroo rat), 97 nucleotides. RefSeq lists it as uncharacterized. Lineage: Eukaryota; Metazoa; Chordata; Mammalia; Rodentia; Heteromyidae. The transcript has 3 exons. The record is from RefSeq and is a predicted model, not a curated record.
UGUGAACAUGCUUCCGUGAACAUCCUUCUACAUGUAUUCAGAGGUACAAUGCAUUUAUUUCUCUGGAGAAUUACCACUCUUAAUUCUGAAUUAAAAG